This 1243-nucleotide ribosomal RNA is filed under the name metagenome. RNAcentral describes it as "bacterial LSU rRNA". It matches the Rfam family "Bacterial large subunit ribosomal RNA", at positions 1564 to 2816 of the family's 2925-position model. The record is from RNAcentral.
UGAAUACGAGACGCUAAGGCGUCGAAGUAGUGUAUGUCAUACUUCCAAGAAAAGCUUGCACUGUCAUAGAUAAAAAACGCCUGUACCAUAACCGACACAGGUGGGUAGGUAGAGUAUACUAAGGGGCGCGAGAUAACUCUCUCUAAGGAACUCGGCAAAAUAACUCCGUAACUUCGGGAGAAGGAGUGCCUUAUUCGUAAGGUUGCAAUAACAAGAUCCAAGCAACUGUUUAUCAAAAACACAGGUCUCCGCUAAGUCGUAAGACGAUGUAUGGGGGCUGACGCCUGCCCAGUGCCAGAAGGUUAAAGAAGUUGGUUAGCAAUUGCGAAGCUGAUAACUGAAGCCCUGGUGAACGGCGGCCGUAACUAUAACGGUCCUAAGGUAGCGAAAUUCCUUGUCGGGUAAGUUCCGACCCGCACGAAAGGCGUAAUGAUUUGGAUACUGUCUCGGAGAGGGGCUCGGUGAAAUAGACUUGUCUGUGAAGAUGCGGACUACCUGCACCAGGACAGAAAGACCCUAUGAAGCUUUACUGUAACUUGAAAUUGAAAUUGGACUUUAUUCGCGCAGUAUAGGUGGGAGGCGUUGAUUAUAAUCUUGUGGGAUUAUUGGAGCCAUCAGUGAGAUACCACUCUUGUAAUGUUAGAUUUCUAACUUUGAAUCAUUAUCUGGUCAAAGAACAGUUUCAGGCGGGCAGUUUGACUGGGGCGGUCGCCUCCUAAACGGUAACGGAGGCGUACAAAGGUUUCCUCUGAACGGUUAGAAAUCGUAUCUAGAGUGUAAAGGCAUAAGGAAGCUUGACUGUGAGACCUACAAGUCGAGCAGGGACGAAAGUCGGUCUUAGUGAUCUGACGGUACUGAGUGGAAAGGCCGUCACUCAACGGAUAAAAGUUACUCUAAGGAUAACAGGCUGAUCUCCCCCAAGAGUUCACAUCGACGGGGAGGUUUGGCACCUCGAUGUCGGCUCAUCGCAUCCUGGGGCGGUAAUACGUCCCAAGGGUUGGGCUGUUCGCCCAUGAAAGCGGUACGCGAGCUGGGUUCAGAACGUCGUGAGACAGUUCGGUCCAUAUCCGGUGUAGGCGUUAGAAUAUUGAGAGGAGCCUUCUUUAGUACGAGAGGACCGAGAAGGACAUACCUCUGGUGUACCAGUUAUCGUGCCAACGGUAAACGCUGGGUAGCUAUGUAUGGAGUGGAUAACCGCUGAAAGCAUCUAAGUGGGAAGCCCACCUCAAGAUAAGUAUUCUCA